UGACCUCGGAUCAGGUAGGAGUUACCCGCUGAACUUAAGCAUAUCAAUAAGCGGAGGAAAAGAAACCAACCGGGAUUGCCUCAGUAACGGCGAGUGAAGCGGCAAGAGCUCAAAUUUGAAAUCUGGCCCCUUUGGGGUCCGAGUUGUAAUUUGCAGAGGAUGCUUCGGGUGCGGUCCCCAUCUAAGUGCCCUGGAACGGGCCGUCAUAGAGGGUGAGAAUCCCGUCUGGGAUGGGCGGCCGCGCCCGUGUGAAGCUCCUUCGACGAGUCGAGUUGUUUGGGAAUGCAGCUCUAAGCGGGUGGUAAAUUUCAUCUAAAGCUAAAUACUGGCCGGAGACCGAUAGCGCACAAGUAGAGUGAUCGAAAGAUGAAAAGCACUUUGAAAAGAGAGUUAAACAGCACGUGAAAUUGUUGAAAGGGAAGCGUUGUCCACCAGACUCGCCCGGGGGGGUUCAGCCGGCACGUGUGCCGGUGUACUCCUCUCCGGGCGGGCCAGCAUCGGUUUGGGCGGCUGGUGAAAGGCCCCGGGAAGGUAACACCCCUCGGGGUGCCUUAUAGCCCGGGGUGCCAUACAGCCAGCCUGGACCGAGGCCCGCGCUUCGGCGAGGAUGCUGGCGUAAUGGUGGUCAACGGCCCGUCUUGUAACACGGACCAAGGAGUCUAACAUCUAUGCGAGUGUUCGGGUGUCAAACCCGUCCGCGCAGUGAAAGCGAACGGAGGUGGGAGCCCCUCGGGGCGCACCAUCGACCGAUCCUGAUGUCUUCGGAUGGAUUUGAGUAAGAGCAUAGCUGUUGGGACCCGAAAGAUGGUGAACUAUGCCUGAAUAGGGCGAAGCCAGAGGAAACUCUGGUGGAGGCUCGCAGCGGUUCUGACGUGCAAAUCGAUCGUCAAAUUUGGGUAUAGGGGCGAAAGACUAAUCGAACCAUCUGGUAGCUGGUUCCUGCCGAAGUUUCCCUCAGGAUAGCAGUAACGACAUCAGUUUUAUGAGGUAAAGCGAAUGAUUAGAGGCCUUGGGGUUGAAACAACCUUAACCUAUUCUCAAACUUUAAAUAUGUAAGAAGCCCUUGUUGCUUAGUUGAACGUGGGCGUUAGAAUGAAACGUUACUAGUGGGCCAUUUUUGGUAAGCAGAACUGGCGAUGCGGGAUGAACCGAACGCGAGGUUAAGGUGCCGGAAUGCACGCUCAUCAGACACCACAAAAGGUGUUAGUUCAUCUAGACAGCCCGACGGUGGCCAUGGAAGUCGGAAUCCGCUAAGGAGUGUGUAACAACUCACGGGCCGAAUGAACUAGCCCUGAAAAUGGAUGGCGCUCAAGCGUGCUACCCAUACCUCGCCGUCGGGGUAGAAACGAUGCCCCGACGAGUAGGCAGGCGUGGGGGUCCGUGACGAAGCCUUGGGAGUGAUCCCGGGUCGAACGGCCCCUAGUGCAGAUCUUGGUGGUAGUAGCAAAUACUCAAAUGAGAACUUUGAGGACUGAAGUGGGGAAAGGUUCCAUGUGAACAGCAGUUGGACAUGGGUGAGUCGAUCCUAAGACAUAGGGUAGUUCCGUUUGAAAGUGCGCCCUCGUGCGCCGUCCGUCGAAAGGGAAGCCGGUUAAUAUUCCGGCACCUGGAUGUGGAUUCUCCACGGCAACGUAACUGAACGCGGAGACAUCGGCGGGGGUCCUGGGAAGAGUUCUCUUUUCUUCUUGACAGCCUAUCACCCUGAAAUCGGUUUGUCCGGAGCUAGGGUUCCACGGCUGGCAGAGCUCGGCACCUUUGCCGGGUCCGGUGCGCCCCCGACGAUCCUUGAAAAUCCGCGGGAAGGAAUAGUUUUCACGCCAGGUCGUACUCAUAACCGCAGCAGGUCUCCAAGGUGAACAGCCUCUAGUUGAUAGAACAAUGUAGAUAAGGGAAGUCGGCAAAA
Molecule: ribosomal RNA, 1903 nt
Filed under: Talaromyces aculeatus
Lineage: Eukaryota; Fungi; Ascomycota; Eurotiomycetes; Eurotiales; Trichocomaceae
Description: partial 28S ribosomal RNA
Rfam family: Eukaryotic large subunit ribosomal RNA
Source: RNAcentral